GAUGAACGCUAGCGAUAGGCUUAACACAUGCAAGUCGAGGGGCAGCACAGGGUAGCUUGCUAUCUGGGUGGCGACCGGCGCACGGGUGCGUAACGCGUAUGCAACUUGCCCUAUACAGGAGGAUAACCCGUCGAAAGACGGACUAAUACUGCGUAUGCUCACAACUUGGCAUCAAGUGGUGAGGAAAGAAAUUCGGUAUAGGAUAGGCAUGCGUCCCAUUAGCUUGUUGGUGAGGUAACGGCUCACCAAGGCAACGAUGGGUAGGGGAACUGAGAGGUUUAUCCCCCACACUGGUACUGAGACACGGACCAGACUCCUACGGGAGGCAGCAGUGAGGAAUAUUGGUCAAUGGGCGCGAGCCUGAACCAGCCAAGUCGCGUGAAGGAUGACUGUCCUAUGGAUUGUAAACUUCUUUUAUACGGGAAUAACAAGAGUCACGUGUGACUCCCUGCAUGUACCGUAUGAAUAAGCAUCGGCUAACUCCGUG
RNAcentral lists this ribosomal RNA (487 nucleotides) under uncultured bacterium. RNAcentral's name for it is "partial 16S ribosomal RNA". It matches the Rfam family "Bacterial small subunit ribosomal RNA", at positions 28 to 507 of the family's 1533-position model. The record is from RNAcentral.